RNAcentral lists this ribosomal RNA (253 nucleotides) under uncultured prokaryote. RNAcentral describes it as "partial 16S ribosomal RNA". It matches the Rfam family "Bacterial small subunit ribosomal RNA", at positions 524 to 776 of the family's 1533-position model. The record is from RNAcentral.
UACAGAGACCCCAAGCAUUAUCCGGAUUUAUUGGGCGUAAAGGGUGUGUAGGUGGUUUUGUAAGUCAUUUGUUAAAUCUUCAGGCUCAACCUGGAGGCAGCAGGUGAUACUACAAGGCUUGAGUAUGGGAGAGGUAAGCGGAAUGCCCGGUGUAGCGGUAAAAUGCGUUAAUAUCGGGUAGAACACCAAAGGCGAAAGCAGCUUACUGGAACAUUACUGACACUGAAACACGAAAGCGUGGGUAGCGAAAGGG